This 273-nucleotide ribosomal RNA is filed under the name uncultured bacterium. RNAcentral describes it as "partial 16S ribosomal RNA". It matches the Rfam family "Bacterial small subunit ribosomal RNA", at positions 524 to 796 of the family's 1533-position model. The record is from RNAcentral.
GACGAACCGUGCGAACGUUGUUCGGAUUCACUGGGCUUAAAGGGCGCGUAGGCGGACCCGCCAGUCUGGGGUGAAAUCUUUCGGCUUAACCGGAAAAUCGCCUGGGAUACUGCGGGCCUGGAGGGAGGUAGGGGCAUGCGGAACUUCCGGUGGAGCGGUGAAAUGCGUUGAUAUCGGAAGGAACUCCGGUGGCGAAAGCGGCGUGCUGGACCUCUUCUGACGCUGAGGCGCGAAAGCCAGGGGAGCAAACGGGAUUAGAAACCCCCGUAGUCC